UGAGCAAUCUGCCCUUCUCAUCGGAAUAAGCGUUGGAAACGACGUCUAAUGCCGAAUACGACCUCCUUUCGCAUGAUCGGAGGUGGAAAGCUCCGGCGGAGAAGGAUGAGCUCGCGGCCUAUCAGCUAGUUGGUGUGGGUAACGGCCCACCAAGGCGACGACGGGUAGCCGGCCUGAGAGGGUGACCGGCCACACUGGGACUGAGACACGGCCCAGACUCCGUACGGGAGGCAGCG
This 236-nucleotide ribosomal RNA is filed under the name uncultured bacterium. RNAcentral's name for it is "partial 16S ribosomal RNA". It matches the Rfam family "Bacterial small subunit ribosomal RNA", at positions 118 to 353 of the family's 1533-position model. The record is from RNAcentral.